Molecule: ribosomal RNA, 344 nt
Filed under: Clostridioides difficile
Lineage: Bacteria; Bacillati; Bacillota; Clostridia; Peptostreptococcales; Peptostreptococcaceae
Description: partial 23S ribosomal RNA
Rfam family: Bacterial large subunit ribosomal RNA
Source: RNAcentral
AGGAAGAGAAAGAAAUUCGAUUCCGUAAGUAGCGGCGAGCGAACGCGGAUUAGCCCAAACCAAUAAAGUUUUCUUUAUUGGGGUUGCGGACAUAUCAUAACGGAGAGGUAUCGUAAUUGAAGAGGUUUGGAAAGACCCACCACAGAAGGUAAUAGUCCUGUAUGUUAAACGAGAAUACUUUAGAUAUGAUCCAGAGUACCACGGGACACGUGAAACCCUGUGGGAAGCAGGAGGGACCACCUUCCAAGGCUAAAUACUACCUAGUGACCGAUAGCGUAUAGUACCGUGAGGGAAAGGUGAAAAGAACCCCGGGAGGGGAGUGAAAUAGAACCUGAAACCCUGCA